AAAAAAAAAAAAAAAAAAUCAAUGGAACUAAAAUCUUCACACAUGGCACCAGGUGUAAUCUGAGUGCCUUUGUGUUCGAAUUUCACUUGCCUCCCCUGACCCCAAACUUUCCUUCAGGACAAUCCCACGCUGACUGAGAAUGAGGCUUUGGGUGUGUGAAAGUGAACGGCUGGUGUGAGACCUGCAGGGCUGCAUCGGAUGAAGCAGAAGAUAGCGAGGGAGAGAUGCUUCUUCACAGGCUCCCGCUUCUCAGAUGGCAGCCCUCACCGUGACCGGUCAAGUACAAACCAGACAGCUAUUCAGCCCCAGCUGUGCAGAUCCCACUUCCUGGGAGUGGAGCAGAGGCUCUGCGUGGAGCAUCCAUGUGCAGUACUCUUAGGAGAGUUUGACCCAGAUACUCAUGGACCAGGCAAAGGUGCUGUUCCUCCCAGCCCAGGGCCCACCAUGAAGCAUGCCUGGGAGCCUGGUUGACUAUCUGGUAUAGUCUGCAGGAUUUAGAGUGUCUUCCCCUGACCACACGGUGUUUCUCUCUGAAAGCGGCACUUGGUACCAGCACAAACUCUGUCUUCAGAAGUCCCACCAGGUGUUUUGGGGCACCAACUAUCAGGCCUCCCGGAUGGUAUCAAGGAGCUCAAACUCACCAGGUCACCACAUCUGGACAAUGAGAGGCCAAACCCCUCACCCGCCAUGACUGCCUAACCACCCACCUGCUGCCUGUUGACUGACUCCUCUUCCUUAUCCCUCCCUAGUUCCUGUUUUCCUGCAUAGACGGGCUUUCACGGUGUUAGCCAGGAUGGUCUCAAU
Molecule: long non-coding RNA, 804 nt
Filed under: Homo sapiens (human)
Lineage: Eukaryota; Metazoa; Chordata; Mammalia; Primates; Hominidae
Description: HSALNT0355551
Source: RNAcentral